RNAcentral lists this ribosomal RNA (253 nucleotides) under uncultured bacterium. Its description in RNAcentral is "partial 16S ribosomal RNA". It matches the Rfam family "Bacterial small subunit ribosomal RNA", at positions 524 to 776 of the family's 1533-position model. The record is from RNAcentral.
UACAGAGGGGGCAAGCGUUAUUCGGAAUUAUUGGGCGUAAAGGGCGCGUAGGCGGCUUUGCAAGUGACGGGUGAAAUCCCUCGGCUUAACCGAGGAACUGCCUGUCAGACUGCAUGGCUUGAGACCGGGAGAGGUGAGUGGAAUUCCCAGUGUAGCGGUGAAAUGCGUAGAUAUUGGGAGGAACACCAGUGGCGAAGGCGGCUCACUGGACCGGUACUGACGCUGAGGCGCGAAAGCGUGGGGAGCAAACAGG